AACGAACGCUGGCGGCAUGCCUAACACAUGCAAGUCGAACGAGACCUUCGGGUCUUGUGGCGCACGGGUUCGUAACGCGUGGGAACCUGCCCUUAGGUUCGGAAUAACUCCCCGAAAGGGGUGCUAAUACCGGAUAAUGUCUUCGGACCAAAGAUUUAUCGCCUUUGGUUGGGCCCGCGUUGGAUUAGCUUGUUGGUAGGGUAAAAGCAUACCAAGGCGACGAUCCAUAGCUGGUCUGAGAGGAUGGUCAGCCACACUGGGACUGAGACACGGCCCAGACUCCUACGGGAGGCAGCAGUGGGGAAUAGUGGAAAAUGGGCGAAAGCAUGAUCCAGCAAUGCCGCGUGAGUGAUGAAGGCCUUAGGGUUGUAAAGCUCUUUUAACCGGGAUGAUAAUGACAGUACCGGGAGAAUAAGCUCCGGCUAACUCCGUG
Molecule: ribosomal RNA, 433 nt
Filed under: uncultured bacterium
Lineage: Bacteria
Description: partial 16S ribosomal RNA
Rfam family: Bacterial small subunit ribosomal RNA
Source: RNAcentral